GCGGUUGUCGGAGCCUGUGCCUACUUGUAAGCGCAGCAAUGGCGGAGGAGCGCGGCUAAAAAACUUAUUACUUUUUCUGGGUCACAAAAUAAACUUUUAAGAUAUUUUCAGGCGAGAAUGUAGCUGUGUAAAGUUCAAAUAUCUGCUCGAUUUAUCAAGACAUCACAUAUUUGCAAAAAUGCUCCGACGUUUUCGGAGACGUCCAUUUGUUGUUCAUGCUUUGUGGCAGCUUUUGAACAUCUGUGGCAUCUAUUAAUGUCAAAUCUAGCCUUUAUUUAACAACAUAAGCAAACUCUAUGUUACAAUGAUUGCACAGCCAUUAAGGAUCAAAUCAGUUUCUGAAAAAUGUUCUGUUUUUUCUCCCUCUGCUUGCUUCUUACUGUCUUUGAGGCUCGGGACCAGCACUCCUGUUGUUGGACAGAAAGACAUCAACUCAGUGACUUGAGAUAUGACUGCACUAUGCUGUUGCUGGUGACCACAGUUAAUUCUACAAGACAUGCUGUGACACCAGGAGAGAUGAGUCCUCCGUCACAGAUGGUGUGGUCAGUGAAGAUGGUCGCUUGCAGGUUCAAGCUCAUUGCAUCUCCAACCCACAUCCACUGCCACUGUACUGAAGGGAAGUUAAAGACUUUCUUCUGCACCUACAUUUGGAUCACCUCGAUCCAUGACAGUCAUUCAGGCAGUAAUGCCUGGACUGGAAACGAGCCAUUCUUAAAAUAAUACAACAUUCCAGCUCAUGUGUUGGAAUGGAAAACAAAUGUGUUGUUUAAAUUGGAGACUGCACUUGUGACAGAACAAUACAUAUUUUAUUUUGAUUAUAUAAGUAAUGUAAGUACAAAACAAACUUGUGGUAGGCC
Molecule: long non-coding RNA, 857 nt
Organism: Oreochromis aureus
Lineage: Eukaryota; Metazoa; Chordata; Actinopteri; Cichliformes; Cichlidae
Source: Ensembl